RNAcentral lists this ribosomal RNA (981 nucleotides) under Triticum aestivum (bread wheat). RNAcentral describes it as "partial small subunit ribosomal RNA". The record is from RNAcentral. Lineage: Eukaryota; Viridiplantae; Streptophyta; Magnoliopsida; Poales; Poaceae.
AUGGUGGCCUCUCUAGAUAAUGUUAGAGGCUUGACUUUGGCCAUGUCAUCCAGUGCAUUCAUCGGUUCAAGCUUUGUAAUCAAGAAAAUUGGGCUGAAGAAGGCUGGGGAUUCUGGGGCAAGAGCAAGAGCAGGUUCUGGAGGUCAUUCAUACUUGUAUGAACCAUUAUGGUGGCUGGGAAUGGUCACUAUGAUUCUGGGCGAGAUAGCAAACUUUGCAGCAUACGCAUUUGCCCCUGCCAUACUUGUUACUCCUCUAGGAGCUCUGAGCAUCAUAUUUAGUGCAGUGCUCGCACACUUCAUCCUGAAAGAGAGAUUGCAUAUGUUUGGUGUUGUUGGUUGCAUCUUGUGUGUUGUUGGGUCUGUUGGUAUAGUUUUGCAUGCCCCAAAGGAGAGGGAGAUUAAUUCAGUGGGGGAAAUAUGGCAUUUUGCAACUCAGCCAGGUUUCAUUGUUUAUUCAUGUGUGGCUGUGGUUGGUGCUCUUUUUUUGAUUUUCUGGGCUGUCAAACGCUCUGGUCAUAGGAAGAUGCUCGUCUAUAUUGCAAUCUGUUCACUAAUGGGAUCACUCACGGUUAUCAGCGUAAAAGCAGUUGCCAUUGCCUUGAAGCUGUCAUUUAGUGAAUCAAACCAAUUCAUCUACGUCCAGACGUGGUUCUUCAUAUUUGUUGUCAUUAUUUGCUGCUUGGUGCAGUUGAACUAUUUAAACAAGGCUCUGGACUCUUUCAAUACGGCUGUGGUCUCUCCGGUAUACUACGUGAUGUUCACCAUUCUUACGAUUCUCGCUAACAUGAUUAUGUACAAGGAUUGGGUUUCACAGAGUGCAACACAGAUAGCUACUCAACUAUGUGGGUUCGUGACUAUUGUUGCAGGGACUUUUCUACUUCACAAGACUAACACCAGCAGCACAGAUAGACAUGCGGAGAGUGCACCAACACCUCCACCUCCACCGCCGCCGCCUGAUCAAAUUUGUGUGCAGGGAUGA